Molecule: ribosomal RNA, 241 nt
Filed under: uncultured bacterium
Lineage: Bacteria
Description: partial 16S ribosomal RNA
Rfam family: Bacterial small subunit ribosomal RNA
Source: RNAcentral
AUUGAACGCUAGCGGGAUGCUUUACACAUGCAAGUCGAACGGCAGCGCGAGGGAGCUUGCUCUCUUGGCGGCGAGUGGCGAACGGGUGAGUAAUGUAUCGGAACGUGCCCAGUAGCGGGGGAUAACUACGCGAAAGCGUGGCUAAUACCGCAUACGCCCUACGGGGGAAAGGGGGGGAGUUCUUCGGAACCUCUCACUAUUAGGAGCGGCCGAUAUCGGAUUAGCUAGUUGGUGGGUAAGG